This 417-nucleotide long non-coding RNA is filed under the name Mytilus galloprovincialis (Mediterranean mussel). The record is from RNAcentral. Lineage: Eukaryota; Metazoa; Mollusca; Bivalvia; Mytilida; Mytilidae.
GUUCAAUCUAAUUUAUGAAUGGGUUAAACAUAGUUUAGAAAUUAAAAACUUGCAAAAAAAAAAAAAACCAUAACACAUAACACAUAACACGUGACUAAAUUUUGGAAUUGAUUUUUGCUGCUUUAAAAAAGAUAUGAAGUAUAAAACAAAACAAACUGCUUAUAUUUAGCUUGUCAGAAUUAUUUUACCACCCACCUACCCACCCACCAAAAAAUAAUUUCUCAUCAUGAUAAACAUGUUUAUGUUAAAUUAUGCAUCAGUGGAUCAAAUCAGAUUAGCCCACUUCUAGUUUCCUCUUUCAGUAAUCCAUUGAACAAAUUAUUGAGUUAAAGUCACCUAAUUUAUCUUCUGUCUCUCUCUCUUCGAACUUUCCUGUUUCCUUUUCUGGUUCACAAGAUACCUCCCCUUUAGCACAGC